CAUGGUUGUCGUCAGCUCGUGUCGUGAGAUGUUGGGUUAAGUCCCGCAACGAGCCGCAAACCCUCGACCUUAGUUGCCAGCAUUCAGUUGGGCAUUCUAAGGUGACUGCCGGCUAAAAGUCGGAGGAAGUGGGGAUGGACGUCAAAUCAUCAUGCCCCUUAUGACCUGGGCUACACACGUGCUACAAUGGGCGGUACAAAGGGUCGCGAACCCGCGAGGGGGAGCCAAUCCCAAAAAGCCGCUCUCAGUUCGGAUUGCAGGCUGCAACUCGCCUGCAUGAAGCCGGAAUCGCUAGUAAUCGCGGAUCAGCAUGCCGCGGUGAAUACGUUCCCGGGCCUU
RNAcentral lists this ribosomal RNA (339 nucleotides) under uncultured Anoxybacillus sp. Its description in RNAcentral is "bacterial SSU rRNA". It matches the Rfam family "Bacterial small subunit ribosomal RNA", at positions 1044 to 1382 of the family's 1533-position model. Lineage: Bacteria; Bacillati; Bacillota; Bacilli; Caryophanales; Anoxybacillaceae. The record is from RNAcentral.